AUGUCUAUGAAGUUCACGCCUGUGUGCAUAAUUGCAUUCAGAAUGAGUGUAAUCUUUUCCUCCCUCCAUCUUUCUCUUUCUCUGUCUCUCUCUCUCUCUGCUGCUUUUUUUGCACUCUCUAUCCAGCAUCAAAGAAAGAGAAAGGAAACAUGCAGGCAUUGUGGGAGGAUUACGAAACAAAAAAAAGAGGUCACGUACCCAGUGGUACAUAUGCACCAGUAUGCAGGUGGCUUUAUGAAGAUCAUUUCCCUCCCUCCUGUUUCCCAGUGGAAAUGGAUGUCCAUUAAAGAUGACAUCACACAGGCACUACAACAGCCAUGAGCAGCUGUGGCCCAUAAGAGAGGCUCAGCUAUCCUGUAAUGUCUCAUAUGAGUCUAGCAGACUCAUGCACACACACACACACACACACACACACACACACACACACACACACACACACACAUACACACACACAGAGCAACAUCAUGGCUAUGUGGAAAACAAAUGGCACAGCUCACCUAGCACACCAAUAGAGAGAAGUGACUAUAACAGCACACACUCAAACCAUAGGACAGAAAAAUCACUCUUUGCUGUAUAGGAGAAACAAAUGAGAUUAAUUUGAGAUAUUUUGCUCUAUCUAUUCUCAGUUUUCACUACUGAGAAACGGACUGUAGAAAUUGUAUGUGUCUACUCAAGAGUUGAUGCAAAUUAUGUCUUAAACCUUGCUCAGAUUGGAACCAAAUGCCAAAGUCUGCAAUCAGAGGUCAGAGAUUUUAAAUUAAACUCAUAAAUUAAAUUCAUUAAACAUUUCUCAAAAUCAGCUUUUUUAAAUUCUACAAGUGAAUUUAGCCAUUAUUUAGGCAUUGUACAGUAUGAAAAAGUGGUUGAUUUUCAGAUUUGCUAAAUAUUAGAUUUAACUGGGAUAUUAAACUCUUUGUGUUCAGUGAUUUAAUUAUUUUUCUUCCAGGUGUUUUACCUGUAUUUUAAAAUUUGCGUUUCAUUACAUUGUGUUUAGGGUUAACAGUAAUGUCUGUAAAAUCAAUAGAGUAAAUUUUCUCUUUUUCUGACCAAUUAUAACAAUGAAAAAAUAUAAAAAUAAAAACUGCUGAUAACCAAUUUUGUAUCA
Cyprinus carpio (common carp) is the source of this 1105-nucleotide long non-coding RNA. NCBI's taxonomy places the organism in Eukaryota, Metazoa, Chordata, Actinopteri, Cypriniformes, Cyprinidae. The record is from Ensembl.